This 726-nucleotide long non-coding RNA is filed under the name Solanum tuberosum (potato). RNAcentral describes it as "long non-coding RNA (STUB_LNC002211)". The record is from RNAcentral. Lineage: Eukaryota; Viridiplantae; Streptophyta; Magnoliopsida; Solanales; Solanaceae.
UCGAACCUUAACUGAUUUCAUGCAUACCCGGGGUCUACGUAUGCGUUCUCUUGGACAAGUAGUAAGUCUUAUUGAUCAUUUUUUACCCUUAGUAAUUUUCUCCUUAUGUAUGUGUGUGUGACACAUAUAUUUGUCCACUUAGACUUCAAUUUGUGUCUUCUUGUUUAGUAUUUUUAAUCUCCAGGUCAUAAUAUUUUUACUUUAGUAUAUUAAUUGUACCGAGAUUAUCAAAUAUAGAUGUUGAAUUUUGUUAGAACUGUCAAAGGUUUGAAAAUUAUCUGAAAGUUGAAUUUCUCAUUCUUUAUCUCUUUCCUAUUGCCUCUACAUUGAUCUGGUUUUAGAUCAUGAUAAAUUCUAUGUGCAACUGUAAAACCAUAGUAGGCCAAUUUUUAUCUCAUUAAGCUGCGCCUGAAUUGAUUCUUGCUCUUUUUUUCUUCUUGUGUAGGUUAAACUUUCUGAGAAGUUAUCACACGUGCAAUCUCUUUGUAUACAUGAGAUGAUAGUCCGAGCUUUUAAACAUAUUCUGCAAGCAGCUAUUGCAUCAGUUGUUGACAUUGAGGAUAUGGCUGCGAUAAUUGCUGCUGCCUUGAAUAUGAUGCUUGGGGUACCUGAAAAUGAUGAUUCAAAUGAGUACGGUGUUGAUUCUUUGAUCUGGAGAUGGCUGGAAUUAUUUUUGAAGAAGAGAUAUGAGUGGGAUGUUGGCAGCCUAAACUACAAAGAUAUGAG